Molecule: transfer RNA, 72 nt
Filed under: Acidimicrobiia bacterium
Lineage: Bacteria; Bacillati; Actinomycetota; Acidimicrobiia
Description: tRNA-Ile
Rfam family: tRNA
About the family: Transfer RNA (tRNA) molecules are approximately 80 nucleotides in length. Their secondary structure includes four short double-helical elements and three loops (D, anti-codon, and T loops).
Source: RNAcentral
GGGCCGGUAGCUCAGUGGUAGAGCAGCGGACUCAUAAUCCGCGGCGCGCAGGUUCGAUCCCUGCCCGGCCCA